UGCCCGGUGGUGUAAUGGCAACACGCAAGAAUUUGGAUCUUGUUUUCCAGGUUCGAAUCCUGGCUGGGCAG
RNAcentral lists this transfer RNA (71 nucleotides) under Candidatus Aceula meridiana. RNAcentral describes it as "tRNA-Gln". It matches the Rfam family "tRNA". From Rfam's summary of the family: Transfer RNA (tRNA) molecules are approximately 80 nucleotides in length. Lineage: Bacteria; Pseudomonadati; Candidatus Omnitrophota. The record is from RNAcentral.